This 429-nucleotide ribosomal RNA is filed under the name Bacteroidota bacterium. RNAcentral's name for it is "Bacteroidetes bacterium partial 16S ribosomal RNA". It matches the Rfam family "Bacterial small subunit ribosomal RNA", at positions 355 to 776 of the family's 1533-position model. Lineage: Bacteria; Pseudomonadati; Bacteroidota. The record is from RNAcentral.
UAGGGAAUCUUCGGCAAUGGGGGGAACCCUGACCGAGCAACGCCGCGUGAGUGAAGAAGGUUUUCGGAUCGUAAAGCUCUUUUGUUAAGGAAGAACGAGUGUGAGAAUGGAAAGUUCAUGCUGUGACGGUACUUAACCAGAAAGGGACGGCUAACUACGUGCCAGCAGCCGCGGUAAUACGUAGGUCCCGAGCGUUGUCCGGAUUUAUUGGGCGUAAAGCGAGCGCAGGCGGUUAGAAAAGUCUGAAGUGAAAGGCAGUGGCUCAACCAUUGUAGGCUUUGGAAACUGUUUAACUUGAGUGCAGAAGGGGAGAGUGGAAUUCCAUGUGUAGCGGUGAAAUGCGUAGAUAUAUGGAGGAACACCGGUGGCGAAAGCGGCUCUCUGGUCUGUAACUGACGCUGAGGCUCGAAAGCGUGGGGAGCGAACAGG